AACCCAGCCCACUUAAAGAAGGCUCUUCAGUGAAUAAAUAGCCCUGGCUGGGAGACGGUGGGUAGGAGAUCGCAGCUUUACUUCUGGUUCAGAUGCUAACUUACUGUGGGCUUUGGACAAAUCACCUCACCACUCAGCUUCGUCACUGUAAAAGAUGUGUCUCCUAUACGGUACAGUUCUGAGCUGAUAGAUGGAGAAAUCAUUGAUUCCAGUUGUGGCGACCUAGAAAGAGCUAAAGGAAGAAACUGAGACAGAAGGGCUGGUGGUACAUGCUGCAUCAGUGUGUGAACUUCCUUGCUACUAAACCGCAUUGACAUAGGCAGCAGGCAGGAUACAAAGCAGUGCCAGUUCCUCCCUGCUCCUGUUCCAGAUGGCUUCCAUAAUUACUUUUUGCAGAUAUGGUAACGGAACUUCAGGAUGUAAGUCAACAACAAAACGCAGCAGAUAAUAUAAGGAGAAGGAAACUGUAAAUUUGUUGAGUUUCUGAAAACACAAGACUGGCAUGAACCAAGCUUUCAGCUGGACUCCAGUAAAGUAUAUCUGAAGUCUCGAUUCAUGUUGAAUGGUAAAUGGAACCCUGGAGUUUCUUGUGUUUUAUUGUGGUUAGUAAACAUAAGUUUUGGGAAUCAUUUUCUUAAAGUUGAAGCCCAGCGUUACACAGCCAACAACACUGCCCAAUAAGCACCUCUCCCAAGAGAGAUCUUUUAUCUUCAUUCCCUUGACUGAGGAUGUUCUCUGAUUUUAUGGCAGCGUUAUCUGUUUAAAUGUAUGAACAACUUGGGAGUAAUCAUGCUUCUCAAGAAACAAUGGUAAUUGUCAGGCUAUUCAGCAAGUGAAAUGAGAUCUUAGAAUGCUAAUUUUAAACACAUUUCCUUUGUGGAUUUUUAUAAAUAAAAUGUCAACUUUGGGAGGACAUUUCAUUUCUCAAAGUUAAUAUGGUGUAAAGCAUUCAAAUAUUUGCUCUAAAUUAGUCCUAAGAAUGACAACUUAAGAGAAUGGACUAAGCUUUCGUUAAUAGGUAUUGCAUGGGUAAGACCCUGGACAUUAAAGGAAAGCUGGUUUGUUUUUAUACCAUGUCUGGGCUUAGUAAAUUUAUUUAUUUAUGCUUAUUUUCAGUAUUCAGCACUGAUAUGCAAGUGAGAAUAACACUAGCUCACAGUUAUUGAGAAUUCAAUAUGUGUUAGUCCAUGCUCUUUGCUAUUUACCUGCAGUUUUUCAUUUGCUCCCAUAAUGAUCCUCUAUGAUUGAGACUACAAUUACCUCCAUUUUGUAGGUGAGUUCGUUGAAAGGGUUCAGCAGCUUUUUCUAGAUUAAAAUGAUAGUAGGUGGUGGAUGUUAUACUUUGACUCACAUUUACCUGACUUAAACAUUUAAACUUUAAUCAUUGGGCUAUUACCUAAUAUUUCCAAAUAACGGUUUUAGAACCCACUGGGUUUUUCUGGUUUUUGCUUUUUAAAAUUUUAUUUUUAAAUGUUUUUUUAGAUGAGCUAGUAAGUGUCUGCCUGACCUUGAAUUACUUUGAUAACGGAUUAGAGUAUGUGCUCUCUGCUUUAUAUUUAGCCAUUGAUGGUCUCCCAAAACCUAUUCGGAUCAACUCUUAGAUAACAACUUAUCUUCCAUUUCAUGUAAAAUUGAUUCUUACACUUCUUUUCUGUUUUAGCAAGGGAAACUCAUGGGUCUGUCCCUGUCACUGAAUGACAUUUUGCUUAACAACAUCUGACAGGGUCCACCACAGCAAAUCCCCAAUGUUGGCAACCAACUAAAAAUUAAAAUGAAGGUCGUUAUCACAGUAUGACUGGUGAAACUAAAUAAGUGAGCUAAAAAGUUAAGGGCUGGCAAGAUCUUACAGGCUCACUGUGGGCUCUCAUGCUUCAUUCAGGGCUGGCCUUGGCAACGGUGGGAAAUCAAUGGGGCUCAUCAUCUGGUAUGCUGGGUUUUCCUCUCUGCACAUCCCCAGCCUCUCCUAUCUUCUGAGCUCUUCUUUCUCCAGUGUUGCUUCCUUUCUUCCCUUCAGGUUUUCAAAAUCAUGCUGCUUUCUCUGGAUAAUUGGUCACUUUGGAAUGCCAUAGACUCUGCUAGGUGUUUUAUAUUUUAUCCAAUCCUGACAACACUUCAGGGCUCACUAAGUUUAAAUGGCUUCCAAGAUCACAAGCUCAAAGAGGGCUAAAGUGAGCUCUUAAUUUAGGGUUGCCAGAUUGCAAAGGUGAUAUUUUUGUUUCUAUGCAAUGGUCUCUUUUACUAAGCUGCCACAACUAUAACAUUCUCAGGAAAUAUUCUGGCUCCAGAUAUUUUCCUAGAAUGUAAAUUUCAGUAAAGAUAUGAUAUUUCUUCUCACAUAGGGACCUGCUUAUAUUUUAAGGGUUCUAUCUUACUGGUGAAUGGAAAUUUGCAUCCUUCUCUGGAUAUUUUAUACAGCAGUCGGCAUUUGGGAAAGUAUUUUUUUGAUCAGCAGAACUCUCCUGUGCUUUUGAAGUGGUCUCAAGUGGGAAAACACCUAUCUUACUUAUGUGUAAGGACAACAUUGUUUUUUAUCAUGAUAGAACAAUAAGAAGACUUAUAUUUUGGAGUCUUUUACUACAUAAAGGAGGAUCUACCUUCUCUUGGGAAUAAAAAAUUUAGAGUCUUCCAAGGGUCCUCCAACUGGACAAGUUGUGUUAUGACCAUCUAGGCUUUCCUUCUUUCUAAUCUCUUACUUGAAAACUAUUCCUUAGAAUAGAUUUGAAAGGGAGGAGAUUUAUGUAUGUAUGCAGUGUAUGUAUAGAUGUGUGUAUGUAUGCUUGUAUAUAUUUAUUAAAUUAGUGUUAUCUUUCAUGCAUUUUAAAUUGGGAAAUAAAAAUAUCACAUGUUGAUUAGAAAUUGAUGGAAAAAGAUGUAAAAAAGAGGGAAGCUCAUAAAUAAGGAAGUUUUAUGCCAGCUUUGCUUUUUCAUUCUAUCACUUUGUUAUUAAGGAAAGCAGCUGG
This 2960-nucleotide long non-coding RNA is filed under the name Equus caballus (horse). Its description in RNAcentral is "lncRNA (ENSECAG00000036512.2)". Lineage: Eukaryota; Metazoa; Chordata; Mammalia; Perissodactyla; Equidae. The record is from RNAcentral.